Long non-coding RNA from Heterocephalus glaber (naked mole-rat), 1575 nucleotides. The record is from Ensembl. Lineage: Eukaryota; Metazoa; Chordata; Mammalia; Rodentia; Bathyergidae.
GUCAGAGCAGAGACUUCCCGGAGCGGAGAAGGUGUUUUAGAGACUAAUGUGCUGCUGCUUUCUGGGGCUUGAAAAGCAGCCUGAACUCCGUUCACCCUUGGCCAAGAACUACCUGUUGCAAAGGAGCAAGAUAAAUAGCAACUGUCCGAGCCCCUUCUGGCUCCAGAUCCCAAGGUCCUGAAGCAACAGAGCCAACUGACCAUGGACUGAAACAUCUGAAACUGUGAGCCAAGAUAAAUCUUUCCUUCAAGUUGUUGCUCUCAGGCUGUCAACAUGAGCUGCUUUAUACAUCACUUCAUUUAGAAGAAGAGAGACCAGAAUGUAGAGUUGCCACUCAGAUAUGCAGAAGAGUGACCAGAAUUCUGCAGUUUGUUAUGAAAGCCUUCUCAGUGGAACCAAUCUCCAUGACGAUCAUGCUCCAUUUCAGGACUUUUCCCACCUUCACGACUUCUCCUAUAAGGAAUCCCCAAGAAAUCCUCCUCUUCCUGGAGCAGUGUGUGUGGGGGUGCAAGGGUGUUUCCCAGAGGAGACUUCCACAGGUGCUCACCUCACUUCUGCCUGCCCAGGUCCCCUGCUCACAUGCUCUCCCUUCCUGUUCGGCUAUGGAGAAAAUGCUCAGGCUCCUGUAAGAGAGAUCUCACCUCUCUCCUCUGCUCAAGGCUAUUCUCCAAUAAUUUGUUCCCCUCUCUCCUGCAUCACCAAUUUUUUCUUUGGUUGCAUAUUGGCAUUGGUGCACAAACUUUUCUUGACCUCAACGAACGCUCCCACUCGAUUUCUUUCAUUUUUGCACUAUAGCUUCUAUUUUUUCCACCUUCAAUCUCUUUCCUCCAUUCUCUUAAAAAGAAUUUUUUUUUUUGGUGGUAAAAUACUGUGCCAGUUAAUCUUAAUUGUCACCUUGAUUGAAGACUCCUGGAGAGGAGAGUGGACCCUGGGCACUGUACUCAUCAGUGGAUUAACCCACUAAUGUUCACAGCUGAGUGGGCUGUUAGGCGGUGAGGCCCAGUUGGAAGUGGGGCUGCCUUUGUCGGGUGUGUCUCUCCUGGUCUCCGCCCCUACACUCUGCUUCCGGACCUCCAUGAAGAGAGCGGCUUUGCUCCACCACGCCCUUCUGCUAUGAUGUCCCUGCCUUGGAGCGAGUGGACCUCGGAACUCUGUGGCUUCUUCCACUUCAGCCUGUAGACAACUGUUGCCUCUCCCACGUGUAGCUUCUGGGACGGCCCCUCUAGACAGCUCCUUCCUGCUGAGGACUCUGGUUCUAGCACAUGGACUUCUUGGCCUGCCCUGACUGGAGGAAGUGCCUCACUGUUCUUCAGCUGAAUGGCUUCUUUCCCACUUUUUCUUUUUCUUUUUUUUAAAGAUCAAGUUUAUGGAGAAAUAAUUUAUAUAUAAUAAAAUGCACAAGAAAUAUUUAGUGUGAUGAAUUUUAAUAAAUAUGUCCACUUCUGUAAUCAUCAUCCUAAUCAAGAUAAUCAAUUCCAUCAGCCAGAACUGUCCUUUUUUCCCCUACGAAGUUAACCAUCCCUGCCAAGGAAAUCAUUGAUCUUGAACAUUCUAUAUUAGUUUUUCCUACUGUAA